CCUACGGGAGGCUGCAGUGAGGAAUAUUGGUCAAUGGGCGCUAGCCUGAACCAGCCAAGUAGCGUGAAGGAUGACUGCCCUAUGGGUUAUAAACUUCUUUUAUAUGGGAGUAAAGUGCAGUAUGUAUACUGCUUUGCAUGUACCUUAUGAAUAAGGAUCGGCUAACUCCGUGCCAGCAGCCGCGGUAAUACGGAGGAUCCGAGCGUUAUCCGGUUUUAUUGGGUUUAAAGGGAGCGUAGGUGGGUUGUUAAGUCAGUUGUGAAAGUUUGAGGCUCAACCGUAAAAUUGCAGUUGAUACUGGCAGCCUAGAGUACAGGAGAGGUAGGCGGAAUGCGUGGUGUAGCGGUGAAAUGCUUAGAUAUCACGAAGAACUCCGAUUGCGAAGGCAGCCUGCUGGACUGUAACUGACGCUGAUGCACGAAAGUGUGGGGAUCAAACAGGAUUAGAUACCCGAGUAGUC
Molecule: ribosomal RNA, 460 nt
Filed under: uncultured bacterium
Lineage: Bacteria
Description: partial 16S ribosomal RNA
Rfam family: Bacterial small subunit ribosomal RNA
Source: RNAcentral